AUGCCGCGUGUGUGAAGAAGGCCUUCGGGUUGUAAAGCACUUUUGUCAGGAACGAAACGGUGGGGGCUAAUACCUCCUGCUAAUGACGGUACCUGAAGAAUAAGCACCGGCUAACUACGUGCCAGCAGCCGCGGUAAUACGUAGGGUGCGAGCGUUAAUCGGAAUUACUGGGCGUAAAGCGUGCGCAGGCGGUUGUGCAAGACAGAUGUGAAAUCCCCGGGCUCAACCUGGGAAUGGCAUUUGUGACUGCACGGCUAGAGUGUGUCAGAGGGGGGUAGAAUUCCACGUGUAGCAGUGAAAUGCGUAGAUAUGUGGAGGAAUACCGAUGGCGAAGGCAGCCCCCUGGGAUAACACUGACGCUCAUGCACGAAAGCGUGGGGAGCAAACAGGAUUAGAUACCCUGGUAGUCCACGCCCUAAACGAUGUCAACUAGUUGUCGGGUCUUAAUUGACUUGGUAACGCAGCUAACGCGUGAAAGUUGACCGCCUGGGGAGUACGGUCGCAAGAUUAAAACUCAAAGGAAUUGACGGGGAUCCGCACAAGCGGUGGAUGAUGUGAUUCAUUCGAUGCAACG
RNAcentral lists this ribosomal RNA (574 nucleotides) under uncultured archaeon. Its description in RNAcentral is "bacterial SSU rRNA". It matches the Rfam family "Bacterial small subunit ribosomal RNA", at positions 394 to 961 of the family's 1533-position model. The record is from RNAcentral.